Molecule: transfer RNA, 72 nt
Filed under: Candidatus Margulisiibacteriota bacterium
Lineage: Bacteria; Bacillati; Candidatus Margulisiibacteriota
Description: Candidatus Margulisbacteria bacterium (hot springs metagenome) tRNA-Thr
Rfam family: tRNA
About the family: Transfer RNA (tRNA) molecules are approximately 80 nucleotides in length. Their secondary structure includes four short double-helical elements and three loops (D, anti-codon, and T loops).
Source: RNAcentral
GCCGGGAUAGCUCAAUGGUAGAGCAACUGAUUUGUAAUCAGUAGGUUGUGGGUUCGAGUCCCUCUCCCGGCU